CUUUGUCAAAACACGUUUGACAACACAAUAAAAGGAUUAUUCUUUUCCUGAAUAGAAAAACCCACUUUUCGCUGGGCCUAGUGGCGCAGGCCUGUAUUCCAGGCACUCCAGAGGCUGAGGCAGGAGGAUUGCUGCAAUUUUGAGGCAAGCCUGGGCAACACAAUGAGUUCAAGAUCAGCCUACAGGGAUCGAACUCUGGACCUUGCUCUUUCAAGGAAAUGAAAUUUAAACAAAGGAGCUUGCCUUCCGGACAACAAAGGCCUACCUGCAACCAGGUGCAUCCCUGGUUUCUGUCAUGUACAUCUACACCAAAAACUAUAAAGACACCUGAGUGUGAACUUCCAUGGCAUUCACCAUAACGGAAACCUUCUCUGACUAGCAAAUAGCUUUUCCUUUUUUACUUUCUAAUAAACAUACAUUUGACUACUCC
RNAcentral lists this long non-coding RNA (430 nucleotides) under Heterocephalus glaber (naked mole-rat). RNAcentral's name for it is "lncRNA (ENSHGLG00100045409.1)". Lineage: Eukaryota; Metazoa; Chordata; Mammalia; Rodentia; Bathyergidae. The record is from RNAcentral.